GUCACCACCUUAUCAACUAGACCAGAGCACUGAGGACCACGUCCAGUCACUUCCUGAACACAGAUAAAUCCCCUUUUCCACCUCUUAUGGUGGUGGAAGGCAGGACUGACACAGAGGGGUUUGGAAACAGCCUUAACACUCAUCCCUGUGAGGUGGAAGCAAAGCCUUUUCUGUUAAUGAGCACAGAGGUUUCAUUAAAUCUGUUUAAAUACCUUAUACGUAGUUCUAAAAUGAUGUGUUGGUUUUGUUGCUUAAAAUGGAGGGACGAGCAGGAGCUCCAUUGUUUUUUAGGUGAAGACAUUUGUGCUGGUCCCCAUGUAUUAAUCUCCCGUCCUUUUGCAUAGGGAGAAGUUAAAAGGCAGGGUAGAAACUUCGUUGCUGCAGCUCUACCUGUGUCUACAUUGCUGUGAAAAUAUGCCAGGAUGUGCCUCUUUUUAAGUAGUUUCAGGUUUGCUGAAUACUUGCAUUUAUUCUGCAGUAAGUGCCCGGAAGGACAAGUGUUGCCACUGACUAUAUAGAAACACUUUCAGAGUUUAUAAAGUAUUUUGAAUUUUUCAUCCCCCAACUUCACUUGCCCCAUUUUGCCACUUAAAAUGCCCAAAGCAAAUAAGCCUUCGCAUUAGUGCUUAAAAGAAUAAAGUGUAUUUUAUAUCAGCACCCUGCUUCUUACAGACCUUGGAGUACAGUCGAAGUUUACUAUGUUUUCUAGGUGUUGAUAAUGAUGGAAGUUGGGUUUGAAUACAGGUUAGCACUGACAUGUUUAAUGCUUGCUUUUUAAAGACCGUAGGUAAGUUUCUGUAAAUAUAUGUGAAGUUGAAUUAUUUUUGUUUACGUUAUCUUUGCUUUCCUGAAGUUCCUUCCCCCCUGCUUAAUCGCCCCUCCUUUUCCUUCUUUCACUCUGGGAUGUAGAGGCACUGAGGUUUUAUUUCAGAGUGAAGUUUUGACGAUGCUUUUGCUUUCUUCUGAUUUUAAUGGCUUAUCAGAAUAGUGCUGGCAGGGUGAGAGUUGCCAAGUGAAAAAUCCAAACUACCACGGACCUUGGCAUAAGGUGAUUGCCGCGUUAAUUACUUCAGUUUAUGUACAUAUUCGGAGCUGGCAUUUACUCUUGGCUCUGUGUUUUGAGUAUGAUUUAAUGUUUUAAGUCCCAAAGUCAUGUUCUCCAAGCUUCACUUCUAAAGCACCGAGUGAGGGGAAGCCCAGAACGUGGCCUGCAGCUGUUCAUCUUUUAACUUCUCUCCUGGGAGGGUAUGACUCCAAAUGCUUCUCCAAACCAGUCUCUGCUGUAGGAUGACAGGAAUGGAGACUGAAGCAGCGAGAGACAAAGCCAUGGAAGAAGAAAGCACUGAACAGAAAAAGGAGAGGGAGAAGAAGAAGAGGUCAAGGGUUAAACAGGUGCUGGCAGAUAUAGCCAAGCAAGUGGAUUUCUGGUUUGGGGAUGUAAAUCUCCACAAAGACAGAUUUCUCCGAGAACAAAUAGAGAAGUCCAGAGAUGGGUAUGUUGACAUAUCACUUCUUGUUUCUUUCAACAAGAUGAAAAAAUUAACUACUGAUGGGAAGCUGAUCGCUCGGGCAGUUAAAAGCUCCUCUGUUGUGGAGCUGGACUUGGAAGGAACCAGAAUCAGAAGACGCCAACCACUGGGUGAGAGGCCAAAGGAUGUGGACAGUCGGACUGUCUAUGUGGAGCUGCUUCCCAAAAAUGUCAAUCACAGUUGGAUCGAGAGGGUGUUUGGCAAGUGUGGUAACGUGGUUUAUGUCAGUAUACCCCGGUACAAAACUACUGGGGACCCAAAGGGCUUUGCCUUUGUGGAAUUUGAAACUAAAGAGCAAGCAGAGAAAGCUAUUGAGUUUUUGAAUAAUCCACCAGAAGAAGCACCACGGAAACCUGGGAUUUUCCCCAAGACAGUGAAGAAUAAGCCUGUUCCUACACUGAACACAAGUGACAGCACUGUAGUAGAGGAGAAGAAAAAGAAGAAAAAAAAGAAAUCGAAAAUGAAGAAAGAGAGCAAUGCACAGGCAGCUGCAGAGCCAAAGGAAUCAAACAGCAGCACUACAACAGAACCAACACCCAAAGCAAAAAGACAGAGGACUCCAUCUGAGUGUUCUGAAAUGGAGGCAACUGAGACUCCAAGGCAGCCCUCCAGGAGGGAAAAAAGGAAAUGGGACAAACCAGAAAAUUCAGAGGUAACUUGUGAAAGCAGGCCUGGGAAGAGGAAAAGAACCAGCUCAGGAGAUGGGGAGACAUCAGCUCCAAAAGUCAAGAAAACUGCUGAAAAGGAUGAAGCUGAACCAGUAAAAGAAGAAACAACAGAAGCUCCAAAGGAUUCCAAUGGUAAAGAAGUUUCUGCAGAAGAAGACAAAGAUAAAAAAGACACAUCCCUUUCCAAAGCUAAAAGGAAACACAAAAAGAAACACAAGGAAAGGCACAAAAUGGAGGAAGAAGUCAUCCCCCUCAGAGUACUGUCCAAGACCGAGUGGAUGGGACUGAAGCAAGAAUAUUUGGCCCUGCAGAAAGCCAGUAUGGCCUCCUUAAAGAAAACCAUGUCUCAAAUCAAACCCGAGCCCGCGGGGGAGAUGGAAACGGAAUCCUGCGCCCAGAAAUCGGAAAAUCACAAAACAGCCCCCAGUGAAGACGGUGCCCCUCCCGCCAAGGCCAACACAAUGGGGCCUCAGUUCGUCAGCGGAGUAAUUGUGAAGAUCAUUAGCACCGAGCCCCUGCCGGGCAGGAAGCACAUCAAGGAUGCUCUGGCAGUGCUGGCUGAGGUGGCUUAUGUUGACAUGCUGGAGGGAGACACGGAAUGUCACGUCCGCUUCAAGACCCCCGAGGAUGCCCAGACUGUCCUGAAAUCCCACAAAGAGAUCCAGAUCAAAAACAACUGCAAAUUCGAAGUUCUCACUGGUGACAAUGAACAACGUUACUGGCAGAAGAUUUUAGUGGACAGACAAGCUAAACUUAACCAACCUCGAGAAAAGAAGAGGGGUACUGAGAAGUUGAUUGCCAAGGCUGAGAGGAUGAGACUGGAGAAGACUCAGCAGACAAGCAAACACAUUCGCUUCACUGAGGACAACUAACCAGGACUGAUGAUCUUGGAGUGUGAACUGCAGAAGAAUCUUCGGUGGAAGAAAUAAUAUCUUUGUUUGAUACCUGUGAUUGCCUUAGCUCCAGAAGUAGUUCUCACUUGCAGAUAAGUGUUAAAAGUCGGGUAGUUCACAGUUUAAGAUGGUGAUUUUAAUGGCUUUCAAGUAUUUCAUGGGAGACUGGCAAUAUUUUAAAAAUCCCUGAAGGUAAAAUUGUAAUUCUACACGAGGCUGCACUGGUGAGUGACUCAGCCCUGCUGGCAGGGGGGGAGUGAAUGGAGAGGAUUAGCACGACUCAAUGGAGAGGGAAUAGCAGCGAUCAGGCUGGAGAUAGCAGGAAAACAGAGGGGAAAAGUGCAAGAUAAGGGACAAACAAAAGGGCUGGAAGGGCUGCAGGGGAAGAGCUUGCUGAUGGUUCUUGGAAAUGGUGCGUGGAGGAUUCCUCCCAGGGGAAAGGUGGGGGAAGGCUAAGAACUAACCCUGGUGCCAGGCACUCCCCUGUGGACUCCUGCAGUAUUCAAGUGUUUAGUCCAAUCGCAGCAUUUUUUAUUUAUUAUUAUCAUUUAAUCUUGAACUCCUCCCAUCCUAGGUGGGUAAGAUAUUUGAUGACACGUAAAAAAUCAUUUUCAUACCUACCUAUGAAAAAAAUUGAUCCGUUAACGUGUUUUUUUUUCUCGGCGUCCUGCCUAAAAGACAGUUUGUUUUCCAUUUCUGCGAUGUGAAGGGGAAAAAAUAAACCCAAAAGCCUACUGUGGGUAAAAUGUUUGGGAUUUCGCUGCUGAAGUUCAUUUGAGUCAAAAAUAUAUCCGUGUUAUAAAUAAUUCAGCUCAUAAAUGAUUCAGACUUUUUAUGUGUGGUGGAGAGUGGAACUGAACUGCAAAAGCCUAAGUCUGGGAGUUAUUGCUCUUAUAUUAAUAUUUUCUGACUUUAACACACAGAAGUCACCCUUCUGUCCCUUUCCAUAUCUAUGCAGGUUAAUUCCUUACACUUCAAAAUGAGUUUUCUUUUUCUCCUUUGCCAAACUAGUGCAGCAAUCUGCUUCAGCAGGGAAGGACAGUCGGUGUUUAUUACUUCCUGAAGAAGUUAAUGACAGCAUUUUUGCUCUUAAUUCAGAAGUCAGGAAUGGAGAGGAUGGUCUAGAUGCUUUAUCAAAACCUUGGAUUCUCAAGGAUGCUAGAAUGCAGCAGAUGUUAAAAGGAAGAACAAAUCAAAGCAGCCAUAUACCCAGUGGGACUGAGGUUUCCUUGAGCUCGGCACUCAUCUCCAGCAGUAGUUGGCACCCAGGGAAGAGGAAAAAAAAGUGGAUAAAGAGACACUGAAACUUCCCUGAAACAGCCCCUGAGCCUCUGGAGUGCAAAGCUGCCCUACUUUACACCAUCACCUUGGAGAUGGAAAACACAGUUCUCUGCAAAAUCUGCUUGUCACGAUUCCCAAUUUUUUGUAUCGGAGGUCCCGGCACAGCUUUGUGCGUCUCCUUUGUUCUCCGGCAGUUUCCAUGGUGCUCCCGCUUUUGUGUGCAGACCUGUCUGCGGGCAGCACUUCUUCUCCAACGCCGGCUGAUUUCCCGAGGCGAGGCGGCGCAUCGCACUGCGUGCCCGUGCUGCAGAGCUGCCGGGCCUCGGCCACCGCCGGCAUCCUGCAGCCUGGCACUCGGGAACCUCGGGAAACUACGGCUUCGUGUGUUUUAAAGGAACGGAGCGAUACGCAUUAACCCAGCUCAGCCUUUCGCCGGUCGUGUUUAGCAGUAUGAGAGGAGGGCUCUUAUCCGAGGGGAUCGUUGCUGUAAGAUGAAAAGGCAGGGCAAGAAGCAGCAGCCAUGCUGCUGUUUGCUGCAGCACUCUGCAAAUUCGAUGUGCAGAUGAUCUGUAGGUGUAACAAAGCAUCGUUCCCCUCACACAGGCAAGGAUGAACUCAUUUAUCUGUUACCCAGCUGUUAAUUCUCUGCUGAUCGUUCUGAUACCGGGAGCACUGACCUCCUGAAUGGCAUCAGCAGGGAGGAACUCGUGGUCCUCACGUCAGGCACAAAGUCAGAAUAACCUGUCCUCUGCUAUUUAUGCCCAGGAAUAAUAUCCCUCAAGAAACCCUGAGCCUUGAGCCUGCUCAGAGGAUCAUAGUAGAGGGCUUAGAGCCCGAGACUAGAAAUAUUUCAGCGGGAAAACGGGUUCUGUGCAUCUUACAGGCUGUUCAUCCAAAAGGAACUGGAGUGUAAAAUCACUGCCCAAGUGAAAAAGCAGGCGAAAGGGCAAAGCUGUGCCAAGGGGGGAAUUGUAACUCCCAGGCACAGCAGAGAGUACAUUAAGUGGUGGGAAUAAGGCUGGAGGUCUGUCAGCAGGAAUGCACUUUAACCCAGGACCUGCAGAUAUCAAUAAGAAAAAACAUUAAUAUCAAAAUAUAGAGAGAAUAUCACUGUGGGCACAAGGGUGGCUAAGAAAGAGAUGUCUGCAUCACAAAAACUAAAUACUGCUUUUUCUUCACUAAGGUGAAGCUUGUACUGUGUGCUGGGAGAGAACAGGCUGCUUCCCCAAAGCUGGACAUGGAAACGAGCGUUUGGUAAGCCUUGGCAGAGGUUUUCAAGGAUGCCUAGGAAAUUAUAAUGCCCAAUUAAGUAGGAAUUGGUCAUCCAAGUCCCUUAGGCGGUCCUGAAAAUUGCAGCCACUCUGCACUGCAUCUCAUUUUCAGUCAGAUUUUUCCCUUCUGCUUCUCUUUGCACUCCUCUUCCAGCACCAUCCGCAGCUCCUGCUGGCACAGAGCUCCAGCUGGAGCUGAGGCCAAGGAGCAGGGCUUGGACAUAUGGCAUUCCAGCAGCCUCAGUGGGGACAGAAGAGGGGAUAGUCUGCCCCUGUUGGGGCCAUUCAGAGCUGGAGCUUCUCUGUAUUAGCUUAGCUUCCUAGGAACCCCUGGGAAUUUUACUAUGUCCUUGAUUUCCUUCAGCAGCUCCACUCUUGGAAUGGGCUGUGCCUGGGCACAAGAGAUGAGGGAAGCCCUUUACCUGGCAAAGCCUUGGGAGAUAAGAAAGGAGUGAAAAAAACUCAUUAUUUUAGAGGUAGAUUUGCAAGAAAACAGGAGGGAAACCUCAUUCUAAAGGUGAGCAGGAACAGCAUCCCAAGGUUUCCUGGGAGCCCCGCUCCAAUACCACCUUUAAAUAUGGAAGACUUGCUCAUGGCCAGAGCACUGCUUCCCUCUCCCCUGGGUCUUAGUUUUCCACUGAUUCCGUCUGAUCCAGCCUUUUCAAUGACUAAAUCUCCAUUUCCCACAACCUGCUAUCAGUUGUUAUUCCUUCUCAGCCCUCCUCCUCAUCCAGACCCAUCCAGUUUAUCUGUGGCCCUGGAGUUCCUGAGCUGUGUUGCCAGCCUGCAGCAGGUUGGAACUGUGCAGGUACUUCCCAGGAAUAAACCUACUGGUUGCGCAGAAGGCACGGUGGUGGGAUCCAAGGAAAGGACCUGUCCUUGUGUGACAGAGGUGACCUGGACAGAUGUUCCUUUUGGAAGUACCAGGACACGGAGAGUGGCAAUGGAACAAACAGAGUUGUCAAUGCUGCACUUGUCGAAAGGAAAUCUAAACACUUCUCACAUUAAAAAAUACAGCCACUGUGAUGAACUUUGCAAACUAAAUAGUCAGUUGUUCUCUGAUGGAGCAUCAUGGCACUCAGGAACUGCUAUCCCACUGCACCUCUGAGCAUGCAGGAAUAAAUUAAUGUUCCUAAUCCAUUAUCUGAUACGGAGAGAAAGUGUGCAGGAGUGUCUUUUACUGACCUCAGGUAAAGUUCCUUAUCACCGAGCAACGUACUGUGGUCACACGGUAAUUUUCCUGCUGUCACGGCAUUAUUGAUCCCCCUGAAAUCCCUUUAUCCCAUCUCAUUUUCUUUUGCUAAGAUACCUGUCUGAAAUAAUGCCUGGAAGUGGAUGUCCUCCUUUUCCCAUUCAAGCUUUUUUAUUUUUUUUAUUUUUUUUUUUAUUAUUAUUAUUUUUAAACCUUGAAAUGUGGUUGGACGUAUUUGGAAAUCCCCAAGGACGGGAAGGUUUCUGGGAUUCCAAACUCAUGGCUUGGACUAAGAAGCACCAGUGGAGAGAGAACACCACGGUGCCCAGAUGAGGAGUGCUGGGGUGGAUGUGGGAAGAUGCAGAACAGAGCUCCUGGCCUCCUGCUUCUCCAGGGAUGUUUCUGUGGCAGAGAAGUUCUGUGUUGUGAAUCCGUCUACUUCAUCUCAAAUCCUAUAGUUUUCCAGCCACUCAGUUUGGGUUGGUCGAUAUGAGGUCUGCUCCUAGGGAGCAACUGUGUGUGGGAGACUGCAGCAACCAGUUUCCUUUUUCUUACUUACUUUCCUCAAGAAGUUUCCCCCUAACUACUGGAUUUUGCCUCUUUUAUACUCUGUUUUAUACUUUUUUUUCCACUUAAAACUUGUGUCCCACUGAUAUUAGAGGUUACCUUCUGGGCAAUUCAUACCACUGACUAUUCAUAUGCUGCUGCUGUGCUUUGUUCCUGCCUUUUCUAACCCACUGCUGAGAUUUUUUCCUACUGCAGGAUGUUCUUUGUCUUCUACUAAGAGUUGUCAGGAUUUAAGGAUAUUUUCAGCUUCUCUUCCAUGGAUGAUUUAGGCAGAUGCCUUGCUUUGGACAACACAGUGUUUGCCUUCACCCCUUUGCUGGUGCUCAUUCUAGUUCCAUAACUUCAUAAAUUACAUUGGUUUAAUUUCCCCAUUUUCAAGGUUUCUUUGAACUUUAAUUUGAUUCGAGCUUGUUUUUAAUUUCACCUUCUGCUACUAUAAAGGAUUAGAAGUAAUUUGUUCAGAACCUAGAAUGACUUGAAAAAUCAGCAUAGUGAAGCAUUCACUUAGAACACUUCUAUUCCAGUGAACUCUGUCUGCCAUAUCAGAGGGAAAAUGGUGCUAGAAAAUGUCUUCUCCCUGAAUUGAAAUGAUGAAAUAUAAAACAUAAUGAACCUGCUGCAUAAUAGAUGUAGACUAAUGUAGGAAAGAGUAAUUACAGUUAGUGCAUAAAUGACUACGUGUGUCUAGGUUGCAUAUAAAAAUUACUGUGCUACAGUGUUAUUUGGGUUGCAAAAUGAAGCACUGAGUAGUUACAAACUAAUAGAAUUAAGGCCUGUGUAAUCUUAAUUCUGUCCCCCUCUGUGUCUGUCCUAUUCACUGAAUUGGGUUCUGGAAAAUAAAAGCUUGAAGUGAUUGUAUAAUUAGGAAUAGAAUUGCAAUAUAUGAUAACAUGCUGUAGGAUAACAAAUACACGUCUUCCACACUGCCAAUCUGUUGAUUUUAAGCCCACUAUUAACACAAGGGAAAUGGUGAUUUUGGAAAGUGAAGGCAUUUUGCAGGCAGAGAUUAAAGGUGCAGUUCCAGCUCCAGGCAAAGUUCUCCUGGCACCUGGGGACCUAGUGGGGCUUUUGUAAAAAGUAACAAAAGUUCUCCAUAAUAAAAAUCUGGUGUGUAACAUUAA
This is an RNA transcript of Pipra filicauda (Wire-tailed manakin), 8522 nucleotides long. It is a transcript of the gene named La ribonucleoprotein 7, transcriptional regulator, with no coding region annotated. NCBI's taxonomy places the organism in Eukaryota, Metazoa, Chordata, Aves, Passeriformes, Pipridae. The transcript has 18 exons. The record is from RefSeq and is a predicted model, not a curated record.